AGUGAACGCUGGCGGUAGGCCUAACACAUGCAAGUCGAACGGCAGCACAGUAGGAGCUUGCUCUUACGGGUGGCGAGUGGCGGACGGGUGAGGAAUACAUCGGAAUCUACUUUUUCGUGGGGGAUAACGUAGGGAAACUUACGCUAAUACCGCAUACGACCUACGGGUGAAAGCAGGGGAUCUUCGGACCUUGCGCGAUUGAAUGAGCCGAUGUCGGAUUAGCUAGUUGGCGGGGUAAAGGCCCACCAAGGCGACGAUCCGUAGCUGGUCUGAGAGGAUGAUCAGCAACACUGGAACUGAGACACGGUCCAGACUCCUACGGGAGGCAGCAGUGGGGAAUAUUGGACAAGGGGCGCAAGCCUGAUCCAGCCAUACCGCGUGGGUGAAGAAGGCCUUCGGGUUGUAAAGCCCUUUUGUUGGGAAAGAAAAGCAGCAGGUUAAUACCCCGCUGUUCUGACGGUACCCAAAGAAUAAGCACCGGCUAACUUCGUG
RNAcentral lists this ribosomal RNA (492 nucleotides) under uncultured bacterium. RNAcentral describes it as "partial 16S ribosomal RNA". It matches the Rfam family "Bacterial small subunit ribosomal RNA", at positions 29 to 507 of the family's 1533-position model. The record is from RNAcentral.